RNAcentral lists this ribosomal RNA (253 nucleotides) under uncultured bacterium. RNAcentral's name for it is "partial 16S ribosomal RNA". It matches the Rfam family "Bacterial small subunit ribosomal RNA", at positions 524 to 776 of the family's 1533-position model. The record is from RNAcentral.
UACGUAGGGGGCUAGCGUUGUCCGGAAUCAUUGGACGUAAAGAGCGUGUAGGCGGCCCGGUAAGUCCGCUGUGAAAGUCGGGGGCUCAACCCUCGAAUGCCGGUGGAUACUGUCGGGCUAGAGUGCGGAAGAGGCGAGUGGAAUUCCUGGUGUAGCGGUGAAAUGCGCAGAUAUCAGGAGGAACACCAAUUGCGAAGGCAGCUCGCUGGGACGUAACUGACGCUGAGACGCGAAAGCGUGGGGAGCAAACAGG